GCCAAACAGCUAGCUUUAAACAUAUCAAACAAUCAACAUAUGAAUAAAAAUAACCUUAAAUAUAAAAUCAAAUCAUUUUUCCACCUUAGUAUGGGCGACAGAAAAGGUAAAAUUAAGCAAUAGAAAUAGUACCGCAAGGGAAAGCUGAAAAAGAAAUGAAAUAAAUAAUAUAAGCAACACAAAGCAGAGAUUUAACCUCGUACCUUUUGCAUCAUGAUUUAGCAAAAAACUAUCAAGCAAAACGACUUUAAGUUUGAAACCCCGAAACCAAGUGAGCUACCCCAAGGCAACCUAAACAGGGUGUACCCGUCUCUGUAGCAAAAGAGUGGGAUGAACUUUGGGUAGAGGUGAUAAACCUAUCGAACCUGGUGAUAGCUGGUUGCCUGAGAAAUGAAUAAAAGUUCAGCCUCUUUUACCUUUUACCAAAAAAAAUAAUUUAAGCAAGGAAAAAGAAAAUUAAGAGAGUUAGUUAAAGGAGGUACAGCCCCUUCAACCAUGGACACAACCAUACAGACUGGAUAAAGAUUAUAAUGUAAAAAACAAAUUAUGCCCUAGUGGGCCUAAUAGCAGCCACCUAUUUAGAAAGCGUUAAAGCUCAAGCAAACAAAAGUUUAUUAUUCUAAUAACUAAUCUAACUCCAUCACAAUCAUCAGGCUUUUUUAUACCCCUAUAAAAGAAAUUAUGCUAAAAUGAGUAACAAGAAGAAAUUGAGCUUCUCUAGGCACAAGUGUACAACAGAUUGGACAAUCCACUGAAAAUUAACGAACCCAACCACAAGAGAGAAUUAAGGUAAUCAUUAAAAACAAGAAAACCCCUUAAAUAAGAAUCGUUAACUCCACACUGAAAUGCUAACACAAGAAAGAUUAAAAUAAAAGAAAGGAACUCGGCAAACACAAGCCUCGCCUGUUUACCAAAAACAUCGCCUCUUGAAAACAUUAAUAUAAGAGGUCCAGCCUGCCCAGUGACUAUAUGUUUAACGGCCGCGGUAUUUUGACCGUGCAAAGGUAGCGCAAUCACUUGUCUUUUAAAUGAAGACCUGUAUGAAUGGCCUAACGAGGGCUUAACUGUCUCUCUUUUAUAAUCAGUGAAAUUGAUCUGCCCGUGCAGAAGCGGGCAUAAAACUACAAGACGAGAAGACCCUUUGGAGCUUUAGGUAUUUAACUAAUCACGUUAAACAACUAAAUGAAGAGCACAAACUAAAUGAAAAUAGUACUAUACCUUCGGUUGGGGCGACCACGGAGAAAAAUAUAUCCUCCAAGUGGAACGGGGAAACACCCCUAAACAUAAGAGCCACCACUCUAAGCAACAAAAACAUUUGACCAAAAAUGAUCCGAUGUUUUAAAUCGAUCAACGGACCAAGUUACCCAAGGGAUAACAGCGCAAUCCUCUCUCAGAGUCCAUAUCGACGAGAGGGUUUACGACCUCGAUGUUGGAUCAGGACAUCCUAAUGGUGUAGCCGCUAUUAAGGGUUCGUUUGUUCAACGAUUAAAGUCCUACGUGAUCUGAGUUCAGACCGGAGUAAUCCAGGUCAGUUUCUAUCUGUAAUGUGACUUUUCCCAGUACGAAAGGACCGGAAAAGAAAGGCCCCUGCCAAAAGCAAGCCUUACCCUUAAUUAGUGAAAAAAACUAAAUUAAGUAAAAGGGAACUAAACCCCUAAUCAAGAUAAGAACUU
This 1673-nucleotide ribosomal RNA is filed under the name Paedocypris progenetica. RNAcentral describes it as "16S ribosomal RNA". It matches the Rfam family "Bacterial large subunit ribosomal RNA". The record is from RNAcentral. RNAcentral also lists the same sequence under 1 other name. Lineage: Eukaryota; Metazoa; Chordata; Actinopteri; Cypriniformes.